CUGAAGAGGAGGGCGCAAUAAGAGUAUAAUGCCAGAAACAGGGAUCAUGUAGUAUCACCUUAGGUUCAAUAUGUCACCAUCACUGUCCUUACAUUCUCUUAGAUUCCCAGUUUUCUCAUCAGUAUUAUCAGGAUAUGACAGAAGGAUGGUCAGACACCUUUCAUGAGUUCAGGCAGCACCAUUUCUAAUGAGCACUACUAUGCACUACCCAACUACCACUCUGGGCAGCAUCACCGCCGUCACCAGGAUCAACAGCCUUGUCGACCAUGACCAUCCGCUGGGAGCAAGAAACAGGUGGUCUCCCCUUCCUGAGGCUUUGAGGACAAAUAGACGCUACCUAAGCAAAGUGAAAGAGACAGAGACAGGCACAGAAUUCUUUCUUUCUUAGCCCAAUCCAAAUCAAACAUUUUUGCUUCCCUUAUGAUGACUGAAGCAAUCAAUCACUCAGUAAUUGUCUGCCCCAA
This is a non-coding RNA of Macaca mulatta (Rhesus monkey), 464 nucleotides long. The record is from RefSeq and is a predicted model, not a curated record. NCBI's taxonomy places the organism in Eukaryota, Metazoa, Chordata, Mammalia, Primates, Cercopithecidae.